Molecule: long non-coding RNA, 655 nt
Filed under: Coturnix japonica (Japanese quail)
Lineage: Eukaryota; Metazoa; Chordata; Aves; Galliformes; Phasianidae
Description: lncRNA (ENSCJPG00005016448.1)
Source: RNAcentral
GUGAUCCCAACAGCAUUUCUUUCAUGGUGGCAAGUGAUAACAGUCUUCAAAUCAGACUGAAGACAAGAACUGUUUCUCAUUAUCACCAACCAGGAAGUUCAAGCAUAGCGUUGGAGUACAGCUAUUUUAACUCUGAUGAUGGGAGGGAGCUGAAAAGAUGGGAAAGCUCAAGUGAAUACUCAACCUAUACGCCCAUGGGACCUGAAAACAAGGAGGUUGAAAACAUGAGGAGCUGCUGCUUACAAUACUAUACUGCUACAAGGAAGACACUGCUGAUUUUGUGAAUCAGUGGAAAGGAAUUACAUAAUUACACUUCUGUCAAAAGAGAGCUUCUGAUGACACCAGAGAUCCACAAAGCAUUCAGGUGAUGGAACAUAACUGAUUAUUUCAAUAGUGCUUUGUUAUACAAGAAAAAGAGAACAAUAUGAAGGAAGAUAAAAGUACACAUAAAGCUGUGGAAAGUCAACCAAGUUCUACCUGCAAAAUGCUUAGAAGCUUUUACUUAAGACAGUAUCAACACAAUUUAACUGAUAUUACUUCAUUUGUUUGAAUCAACAUAAUUUUCAUGCAAAUUUAAAUGGAAAUUUCAAACAGUUAAUCUCACAUUGGCUGCUAAUCUGCAUUUAGGGAAAAUAAACAAACAACAAACCCCCCA